UACAGAGGGUGCGAGCGUUAAUCGGAAUUACUGGGCGUAAAGCGCGCGUAGGCGGCUUUGCAAGUCGGGUGUGAAAUCCCCAGGCUUAACCUGGGAACUGCAUUCGAGACUGCAUUGCUAGAGUAUGGGAGAGGGAAGUGGAAUUUCCGGUGUAGCGGUGAAAUGCGUAGAUAUCGGAAGGAACAUCAGUGGCGAAAGCGACUCUCUGGACGGCAACUGACGCUGAGGCACGAAAGCGUGGGGAGCAAACAGG
This 253-nucleotide ribosomal RNA is filed under the name uncultured bacterium. Its description in RNAcentral is "partial 16S ribosomal RNA". It matches the Rfam family "Bacterial small subunit ribosomal RNA", at positions 524 to 776 of the family's 1533-position model. The record is from RNAcentral.